AGCGAACGCUGGCGGCAGGCUUAACACAUGCAAGUCGAACGGAACCUCCGGGCUUUGUGGCGGAGGGGUGAGUAACACGUGGGAACGUGCCCUUGGGUUCGGAACAACUCAGGGAAACUUGAGCUAAUACCGGUUGUGCCCUUCGGGGGAACGAUUUAUCGCCAUUGGAGCGGCCCGCGUCUGAUUAGCUAGUUGGUGAGGUAACGGCCCACCAAGGCGACGAUCAGUAGCUGGUCUGAGAGGAUGAUCAGCCACACUGGGACUGAGACACGGCCCAGACUCCUACGGGAGGCAGCAGUGGGGAAUCUUGCGCAAUGGGCGAAAGCCUGACGCAGCCAUGCCGCGUGAAUGAUGAAGGUCUUAGGAUUGUAAAAUUCUUUCAGCGGGGACGAUAAUGACGGUACCCGCAGAAGAAGCUCCGGCUAACUUCGUG
This 433-nucleotide ribosomal RNA is filed under the name uncultured bacterium. RNAcentral describes it as "partial 16S ribosomal RNA". It matches the Rfam family "Bacterial small subunit ribosomal RNA", at positions 29 to 507 of the family's 1533-position model. The record is from RNAcentral.